RNAcentral lists this ribosomal RNA (301 nucleotides) under uncultured bacterium. RNAcentral's name for it is "partial 16S ribosomal RNA". It matches the Rfam family "Bacterial small subunit ribosomal RNA", at positions 509 to 807 of the family's 1533-position model. The record is from RNAcentral.
CAGUCGCCGCGGUAAGACGGAGGGUGCUAGCGUUGUUCGGAAUCACUGGGCGUAAAGGGCGCGUAGGCGGCCUGUUAAGUCGGAUGUGAAAGCCCGGGGCUCAACCCCGGAACUGCAUCCGAGACUGGCAGGCUUGAGACCGGGAGAGGAGGGUGGAAUAUCCAGUGUAGAGGUGAAAUUCGUAGAUAUUGGAUGGAACACCGGUGGCGAAAGCGGCUCUCUGGCCCGGAUCUGACGCUGAGGCGCGAAAGCGUGGGGAGCAAACAGGAUUAGAGACCCGCGUAGUCCCUGUCUCUUAUAC